RNAcentral lists this ribosomal RNA (450 nucleotides) under uncultured bacterium. RNAcentral's name for it is "bacterial SSU rRNA". It matches the Rfam family "Bacterial small subunit ribosomal RNA", at positions 45 to 539 of the family's 1533-position model. The record is from RNAcentral.
GGCCUAACACAUGCAAGUCGAACGGUUGUAGCAAUACAGCAGUGGCAGACGGGUGAGUAACACGUGGGAACCUUCCUAGGGGUACGGAACAACUCAGGGAAACUUGAGCUAAUACCGUAUACGUCCGUAAGGAGAAAGAUUCAUCGCCCCUAGACGGGCCCGCGUAGGAUUAGGUAGUUGGUGAGGUAACGGCUCACCAAGCCUACGAUCCUUAGCUGGUCUGAGAGGACGAUCAGCCACACUGGGACUGAGACACGGCCCAGACUCCUACGGGAGGCAGCAGUGGGGAAUAUUGGACAAUGGGGGCAACCCUGAUCCAGCCAUGCCGCGUGAGUGAUGAAGGCCUUCGGGUUGUAAAGCUCUUUUGGCGGGGACGAUGAUGACGGUACCCGCAGAAUAAGCCCCGGCUAACUUCGUGCCAGCAGCCGCGGUAAGACGAAGGGGGCUAGC